GACGAACGCUGGCGGCGUGCUUAACACAUGCAAGUCGAACGGAAAGGCCCUGCUUUUGUGUGGUGCUCGAGUGGCGAACGGGUGAGUAACACGUGAGUAACCUUCCCUUGACUGUGGGAUAACUUCAGAAAACUGGUGCUAAUACCGGAGAGGAGCUCCUGCUGCAGGGGGGGGGUUGGAAAGUUUCGGCGGAUGGGGAUGGACUCGCGGCUUAUCAGCUUGUUGGGGGGGGAGUGGCUUACCAAGGCUUUGACGGGUAGCCGGCAUGGGAGGGUGGACGGCGACAUUGGGACUGAGAUAGGGCCCAGACUCCUACGGGAGGCAGCAGUGGGGAGUAUUGCACAGUGGGCGGAAGCGUGAUGAAGAAACGCCGCGUGUGGGAUGACGGCCUUCGGGUUGUAAACCGCUUUCGCCUGUGACGAAGCGUGAGUGACGGUAAUGGGUAAAGAAGCACCGGCUAACUACGUG
This 468-nucleotide ribosomal RNA is filed under the name uncultured bacterium. RNAcentral describes it as "partial 16S ribosomal RNA". It matches the Rfam family "Bacterial small subunit ribosomal RNA", at positions 28 to 507 of the family's 1533-position model. The record is from RNAcentral.